RNAcentral lists this ribosomal RNA (434 nucleotides) under uncultured bacterium. RNAcentral describes it as "partial 16S ribosomal RNA". It matches the Rfam family "Bacterial small subunit ribosomal RNA", at positions 29 to 507 of the family's 1533-position model. The record is from RNAcentral.
AACGAACGCUGGCGGCAUGCCUAACACAUGCAAGUCGAACGAGAUCUUCGGGUCUAGUGGCGCACGGGUGCGUAACGCGUGGGAAUCUGCCCUCAGGUUCGGAAUAACCAUUGGAAACGAUGGCUAAUACCGGAUGAUGACGUUAAGUCCAAAGAUUUAUCGCCUGAGGAUGAGCCCGCGUAGGAUUAGCUAGUUGGUGUGGUAAAGGCGCACCAAGGCGACGAUCCUUAGCUGGUCUGAGAGGAUGAUCAGCCACACUGGGACUGAGACACGGCCCAGACUCCUACGGGAAGCAGCAGUGGGGAAUAUUGGACAAUGGGCGAAAGCCUGAUCCAGCAAUGCCGCGUGAGUGGUGAAGGCCUUAGGGUUGUAAAGCUCUUUUACCCGGGAUGAUAAUGACAGUACCGGGAGAAUAAGCUCCGGCUAACUCCGUG